UUGGAUUAAUACCCCGUAAUAUAUAGAGACGGCAUCGUUUUUAUAUUAUAGCUCCGGCGCUUAAAGAUGGGUGUGCGGCUGAUUAGAUAGUUGGCGGGGUAACGGCCCACCAAGUCGACGAUCAGUAACUGGUGUGAGAGCACGACCAGUCACACGGGCACUGAGACACGGGCCCGACUCCUACGGGAGGCAGCAGUAAGGAAUAUUGGUCAAUGGACGCAAGUCUGAACCAGCCAUGCCGCGUGGAGGAUGAAGGUCCUCUGGAUUGUAAACUUCUUUUAUCUGGGAAGAAAUCCACUUUUUCUAGAGUGGUUGACGGUACCAGAUGAAUAAGCACCGGCUAACUCCGUGCCAGCAGCCGCGGUAAUACGGAGGGUGCAAGCGUUAUCCGGAUUCACUGGGUUUAAAGGGUGCGUAGGUGGGCAAGUAAGUCAGUGGUGAAAUCUCCGGGCUUAACCCGGAAACUGCCAUUGAUACUAUUUGUCUUGAAUACUGUGGAGGUCAGCGGAAUAUGUCAUGUAGCGGUGAAAUGCUUAGAUAUGACAUAGAACACCAAUUGCGAAGGCAGCUGGCUACACAAAUAUUGACACUGAGGCACG
Molecule: ribosomal RNA, 599 nt
Filed under: uncultured bacterium
Lineage: Bacteria
Description: bacterial SSU rRNA
Rfam family: Bacterial small subunit ribosomal RNA
Source: RNAcentral